GUGGUGACGGUACCUGGAUAAGAAGCACCGGCUAACUACGUGCCAGCAGCCGCGGUAAUACGUAGGGUGCGAGCGUUGUCCGGAAUUACUGGGCGUAAAGAGCUCGUAGGUGGUUUGUCGCGUCGUCUGUGAAAUCCCGGGGCUUAACUUCGGGCGUGCAGGCGAUACGGGUAUAACUAGAGUGCUGUAGGGGAGACUGGAAUUCCUGGUGUAGCGGUGAAAUGCGCAGAUAUCAGGAGGAACACCGAUGGCGAAGGCAGGUCUCUGGGCAGUUACUGACGCUGAGGAGCGAAAGCAUGGGUAGCGAACAGGAUUAGAUACCCUGGUAGUCCAUGCCGUAAACGGUGGGCGCUAGGUGUGGGGGUUUUAUUUACGAUUCCCGUGCCGUAGCUAACGCAUUAAGCGCCCCGCCUGGGGAGUACGGCCGCAAGGCUAAAACUCAAAGGAAUUGACGGGGGCCCGCACAAACGGCGGAGCAUGUGGAUUAAUUCGAUGCAACGCGAAGAACCUUACC
RNAcentral lists this ribosomal RNA (514 nucleotides) under uncultured Corynebacterium sp. Its description in RNAcentral is "bacterial SSU rRNA". It matches the Rfam family "Bacterial small subunit ribosomal RNA", at positions 466 to 975 of the family's 1533-position model. Lineage: Bacteria; Bacillati; Actinomycetota; Actinomycetes; Mycobacteriales; Corynebacteriaceae. The record is from RNAcentral.